AGCGAACGCUGGCGGCGUACUUAACACAUGCAAGUCGAACGAGGAUCAUCGGGUUAGCAAUAAUUCGGUGGUCCUAGUGGCGCACGGGUGAGUAACACGUGGGUGACCUGCCCUUGAGCUCGGGAUACCCCCUCGAAAGGGGGACGUAAUACCGGAUACGUUCCUCGGUCGAAAGACUGAGGAGGAAAGGUGGCGCAAGCUGCCGCUCUUGGAGGGGCGUCGCGGCCUAUCAGCUAGUUGGCGGGGGUAACGGCCCACCAAGGCUAUGACGGGUAGCUGGUCUGAGAGGACGGACCAGCCACACGGGGACGUGAGACACGGCCCCGACUCCUACGGGAGGCAGCAGUGGGGAAUUUUCCGUCAAUGGGCGAAAGACCUGACGGAGUGACGCCGCGUGUGGGACGAAGGCCUCGGUCGUAACCAC
This 424-nucleotide ribosomal RNA is filed under the name uncultured bacterium. RNAcentral's name for it is "bacterial SSU rRNA". It matches the Rfam family "Bacterial small subunit ribosomal RNA", at positions 28 to 433 of the family's 1533-position model. The record is from RNAcentral.